CCUACGGGAGGCAGCAGUGGGGAAUUUUGGACAAUGGGCGAAAGCCUGAUCCAGCAAUGCCGCGUGUGUGAAGAAGGCCUUCGGGUUGUAAAGCACUUUUGUCCGGAAAGAAAUCCUUGGCUCUAAUACAGUCGGGGGAUGACGGUACCGGAAGAAUAAGCACCGGCUAACUACGUGCCAGCAGCCGCGGUAAUACGUAGGGUGCGAGCGUUAAUCGGAAUUACUGGGCGUAAAGCGUGCGCAGGCGGUUUGCUGAGACCGAUGUGAAAUCCCCGGGCUCAACCUGGGAACUGCAUUGGUGACUGGCAGGCUAGAGUAUGGCAGAGGGGGGUAGAAUUCCACGUGUAGCAGUGAAAUGCGUAGAGAUGUGGAGGAAUACCGAUGGCGAAGGCAGCCCCCUGGGCCAAUACUGACGCUCAUGCACGAAAGCGUGGGGAGCAAACAGGAUUAGAUACCCUGGUAGUCCACGCCCUAAACGAUGUCAACUAGUUGUUGGGGAUUCAUUUCCUUAGUAACGUAGCUAACGCGUGAAGUUGACCGCCUGGGGAGUACGGUCGCAAGAUUAAAACUCAAAGGAAUUGACGGGGACCCGCACAAGCGGUGGAUGAUGUGGAUUAAUUCGAUGCAACGCGAAAAACCUUACCUACCCUUGACAUGGUCGGAAUCCCGCUGAGAGGUGGGAGUGCUCGAAAGAGAACCGGCGCACAGGUGCUGCAUGGCUGUCGUCAGCUCGUGUCGUGAGAUGUUGGGUUAAGUCCCGCAACGAGCGCAACCCUUGUCCUUAGUUGCUACGCAAGAGCACUCUAAGGAGACUGCCGGUGACAAACCGGAGGAAGGUGGAGAUGAC
RNAcentral lists this ribosomal RNA (847 nucleotides) under uncultured Burkholderia sp. RNAcentral describes it as "bacterial SSU rRNA". It matches the Rfam family "Bacterial small subunit ribosomal RNA", at positions 338 to 1183 of the family's 1533-position model. Lineage: Bacteria; Pseudomonadati; Pseudomonadota; Betaproteobacteria; Burkholderiales; Burkholderiaceae. The record is from RNAcentral.